AGUGGGAUACUGGGUUAAAUGGAAAUUCCAUUCUUAGUUUUUUGAGGAAUAUCCAUAUUGCUUUUCAGAGUGGGUAGACCAAUUUGCAGUCCCACCAGCAAU
Molecule: microRNA precursor, 102 nt
Filed under: Marmota monax (woodchuck)
Lineage: Eukaryota; Metazoa; Chordata; Mammalia; Rodentia; Sciuridae
Source: RNAcentral